GGGUUGUAAUUAUUAGAUAAAGAACCAAUAUUUUUGGUGACUCAUAAUAACUUUACGGAUCACAUUAUGUGACAUAUCAUUCAAGUUUCUGACCUAUCAGCUUUAGACGGUAGGGUAUUGGCCUACCGUGGCUAUGACGGGUAACGGGGAAUUAGGGUUCGAUUCCGGAGAGGGAGCCUGAGAAACGGCUACCACAUCUAAGGAAGGCAGCAGGCGCGCAAAUUACCCAAUCCUAAUACAGGGAGGUAGUGACAAGAAAUAACAAUACAGGACCUUACGGUUUUGUAAUUGGAAUGAGUUAAGUAUAAACCCCUUAACAAGUAUCAAUUGGAGGGCAAGUCUGGUGCCAGCAGCCGCGGUAAUUCCAGCUCCAAUAGCGUAUAUUAAAGUUGUUGCAGUUAAAAAGCUCGUAGUUAAUUUUCUGUUAAUUUUUAUAUACAAUACUACGGUAUUUAUAUAAUAUUAACAUAAUUCAUAUUACUUUUUAGUAUAUGAAACUUUACUUUGAGAAAAUUAGAGUGCUUAAAGCAGGCUAUUGCCUUGAAUACUCCAGCAUGGAAUAAUAUUAAGGAUUUUUAUUCUUCUUAUUGGUUCUAGAAUAAAAAUAAUGAUUAAUAGGGACAGUUGGGGGCAUUUGUAUUUAACAGUCAGAGGUGAAAUUCUUAGAUUUGUUAAAGACAAACUACUGCGAAAGCAUUUGCCAAGGAUGUUUUCAUUAAUCAAGAACGAAAGUUAGGGGAUCGAAGACGAUCAGAUACCGUCGUAGUCUUAACCAUAAACUAUGCCAACUAGAGAUUGGAGGUUGUUCCUUACUCCUUUA
This 820-nucleotide ribosomal RNA is filed under the name Cryptosporidium sp. deer genotype. RNAcentral describes it as "SSU rRNA". It matches the Rfam family "Eukaryotic small subunit ribosomal RNA", at positions 198 to 1082 of the family's 1831-position model. The record is from RNAcentral. Lineage: Eukaryota; Apicomplexa; Conoidasida; Eucoccidiorida; Cryptosporidiidae.